GACGAACGCUGGCGGCGUGCUUAACACAUGCAAGUCGAACGAAAAGAGGGAAAGAGCUUGCUCUUUCCGGAAUUGAGUGGCAAACGGGUGAGUAACACGUAAACAACCUGCCUUCAGGAUGGGGACAACAGACGGAAACGACUGCUAAUACCGAAUAAGUUCCAAGAGCCGCAUGGCCCAUGGAAGAAAAGGUGGCCUCUACCUGUAAGCUAUCGCCUGAAGAGGGGUUUGCGUCUGAUUAGCUGGUUGGAGGGGUAACGGCCCACCAAGGCGACGAUCAGUAGCCGGUCUGAGAGGAUGAACGGCCACACUGGAACUGAGACACGGUCCAGACUCCUACGGGAGGCAGCAGUGGGGAAUCUUCCGCAAGGGGCGAAAGCCUGACGGAGCAACGCCGCGUGAGGGAGGACGGCCUUCGGGUUGUAAAACUCUGUGAUCCGGGACGAAAAGGCAGAGUGCGAAGAACAAACUGCAUUGACGGUACCGGAAAAGCAAGCCACGGCUAACUACGUG
RNAcentral lists this ribosomal RNA (513 nucleotides) under uncultured bacterium. RNAcentral describes it as "partial 16S ribosomal RNA". It matches the Rfam family "Bacterial small subunit ribosomal RNA", at positions 28 to 507 of the family's 1533-position model. The record is from RNAcentral.